GCUUUUCCUAAUCACAUCAUACUAAGGUUCAUGAUUUCACCCAGCCUUCCAGUUAACCAGAGAGGGCUGAUCACUCAUGCAGGGACCAGAUAUUAUGAUAGAAGGUGGCCGAAAAGUACCCACACUUCGGGCAUCGCCCUGAUUCUUCUUGAACAAAAUGACUUCUCUGGCUCUGGGACACGUACGCUCUAUACAGAGUCUUUACAUGUACUUCCUGAAGGGUUGAAGACUGAACAACACGAAGUGUUUGCGCAUAGUAUUUGAAUAUUGUGUGACUAUUUUGUAAUAAAGGGAUAUCCUUA
This is a long non-coding RNA of Pseudophryne corroboree (corroboree frog), 302 nucleotides long. RefSeq lists it as uncharacterized. The transcript is spliced from 2 exons. NCBI's taxonomy places the organism in Eukaryota, Metazoa, Chordata, Amphibia, Anura, Myobatrachidae. The record is from RefSeq and is a predicted model, not a curated record.